UGGGCGAUAGCUAUAGGGUUUCAAGUAUCAAGGGCCUUGGCGCCCUUGAUCACCUUCCUUCUAUGGCUAGGGUCAGUGCCCCCUACGAUGAAUUCCACCUCUUAGGUGGCGGCAAAGAGAGAGAGAGAGAGAGAGGGAGAGAGGAGGCUAGGAUUUUGGGAGAAAAGGGUUUCUUCAUUCUUUAUCAUAAAAAAAUGACAUAUACAAUGUAUAUAUAGACACCCUGAGUCAAUAUGACUCAGCCCAA
Molecule: long non-coding RNA, 247 nt
Filed under: Elaeis guineensis (African oil palm)
Lineage: Eukaryota; Viridiplantae; Streptophyta; Magnoliopsida; Arecales; Arecaceae
Description: long non-coding RNA (EGUI_LNC060346)
Source: RNAcentral